GUCGCAAAAAUAGCGGAACGAGCAAAUACGAUUUGAAAAGAGGGAAAAAUGAUGAUACCGUUGGGCAAUGUAAGAGAGCAGAAUUCAGAAGAAGGAGCGAUAGUUAUUGUUUGCUCCUUUUCAAGAGAAGUUGUCACUUUG
Molecule: non-coding RNA, 141 nt
Organism: Caenorhabditis elegans
Lineage: Eukaryota; Metazoa; Nematoda; Chromadorea; Rhabditida; Rhabditidae
Source: Ensembl